UUCUAGGUAGUUUAAUGGUAAAGCACCCAACUGGUAAUUGGGGGAUCUGGGUUCAAGUACCGGCCCAGGCU
Molecule: transfer RNA, 71 nt
Filed under: Strigamia maritima
Lineage: Eukaryota; Metazoa; Arthropoda; Chilopoda; Geophilomorpha; Linotaeniidae
Rfam family: tRNA
About the family: Transfer RNA (tRNA) molecules are approximately 80 nucleotides in length. Their secondary structure includes four short double-helical elements and three loops (D, anti-codon, and T loops).
Source: Rfam by way of RNAcentral